AGCGAACGUUAGCGGCGCGCCUAACACAUGCAAGUCGCACGAGAAGGGGAGCAAUCCCCGGUACAGUGGCGCACGGGUGAGUAACACGUAGAUGACCUUCCCUGGAGUGGUGGAUAACCUGCCGAAAGGCGGGCUAAUACAGCAUGGGACCACAUGGUUUUGACCGAGUGGUGAAAGCGGGCCUCUGUUCACAAGCUCGCGCUCUGGGAUGAGUCUGCGUCCCAUCAGCUAGUUGGUGAGGUAAUGGCUCACCAAGGGCAUCGACGGGUAGCUGGUCUGAGAGGAUGACCAGCCACACUGGAACUGAGACACGGUCCAGACUCCUACGGGAGCAGCAGUGGGAAUCUUGCGCAAUGGGCGAAAGCCUGACGCAGCGACGCCGCGUGGGUGAUGAAGGCCUCGGUGUAAGACCUGUGGGAGGACGAACGUACGGGGCGAACGA
RNAcentral lists this ribosomal RNA (442 nucleotides) under uncultured bacterium. Its description in RNAcentral is "bacterial SSU rRNA". It matches the Rfam family "Bacterial small subunit ribosomal RNA", at positions 29 to 462 of the family's 1533-position model. The record is from RNAcentral.